RNAcentral lists this ribosomal RNA (349 nucleotides) under uncultured bacterium. Its description in RNAcentral is "bacterial SSU rRNA". It matches the Rfam family "Bacterial small subunit ribosomal RNA", at positions 30 to 377 of the family's 1533-position model. The record is from RNAcentral.
AUUGAACGCUGGCGGCAUGCCUUACACAUGCAAGUCGAACGGCAGCACGGGGGCAACCCUGGUGGCGAGUGGCGCACGGGUGAGUAACACGUAAGUAAUCUACCUUUGAGUGGGAAUAACAGUCGGAAACGACUGCUAAUACCGCAUAAUGCAGCGGCAUCGCAAGAUGACAGUUGUUAAAGGAGCAAUCCGCUUAAAGAGGAGCUUGCGGCAGAUUAGCUAGUUGUAAGUAAUGCUUACCAAGGCUACGAUCUGUAUCCGGUCUAAGAGGACGGUCGGACACACUGACACUGAAUAACGGGUCAGACUCCUACGGGAGGCAGCAGUCGGGAAUUUUGGGCAAUGGGCG